AAGUCGUAACAAGGUAUCCGUAGGUGAACCUGCGGAUGGAUCAUUACCAAAGGAUUCAAAUCCAAUGUAUUGUGAACUGUAUUGACUACACGGUCAGUGGCAUCAUCAUCGCUGCUGCUGGCCGUACAAACAAACGUAUUAUUCACAACUGACGUCUAUUUAGUAGUGUAACAACUAUGUCAAAACUAAAUAACUUUUAGCAAUGGAUCUCUUGGCUCUC
Molecule: unclassified non-coding RNA, 220 nt
Filed under: fungal sp.
Lineage: Eukaryota; Fungi
Description: partial internal transcribed spacer region
Rfam family: Eukaryotic small subunit ribosomal RNA (bases 1-46)
Source: RNAcentral